This 460-nucleotide ribosomal RNA is filed under the name uncultured bacterium. Its description in RNAcentral is "partial 16S ribosomal RNA". It matches the Rfam family "Bacterial small subunit ribosomal RNA", at positions 338 to 795 of the family's 1533-position model. The record is from RNAcentral.
CCUACGGGUGGCAGCAGUGAGGAAUAUUGGUCAAUGGACGAGAGUCUGAACCAGCCAAGUAGCGUGAAGGAUGACUGCCCUAUGGGUUGUAAACUUCUUUUAUAUGGGAAUAAAACGUUCCACGUGUGGGAUUUUGUAUGUACCAUAUGAACAAGGAUCGGCUAACUCCGUGCCAGCAGCCGCGGUAAUACGGAGGAUCCGAGCGUUAUCCGGAUUUAUUGGGUUUAAAGGGAGCGUAGGUGGAAUGUUAAGUCAGUUGUGAAAGUUUGCGGCUCAACCGUAAAAUUGCAGUUGAAACUGGCAGUCUUGAGUACAGUAGAGGUGGGCGGAAUUCGUGGUGUAGCGGUGAAAUGCUUAGAUAUCACGAAGAACUCCGAUUGCGAAGGCAGUUCACUGGACUGCAACUGACGCUGAGGCUCGAAAGUGUGGGUAUCAAACAGGAUUAGAUACCCUAGUAGUC